AGAAUCCGUACGAGGAGAAAGCGUUGUCUUUUGUGUUGUUGAGGAGAGAUUGGGGAAAAGCCCGAAUCCUACCCUGUUACAUUCGCAUUUUUUGUACUUGUUUUUCUUCAUCAUUAAUACUGUUGCUUAUUCUUUUUUAGUUGCUGUGUUAUUCGUUUGUUUUUCUGGCUCUUGUAUGGUGUCCACAGCUCAUUCUUGUUCUUAGAUCCUUAGGAGUGUGAGUAUGUGCUUCACAAAUUUUGUAUUUCUUAUUAUUAAUGUCUGGUCACUUUCUGGUCAUUUAGUUCUCUUGCUACUGAUCAUCAUGUUUGUUUUGGCCAACCACAUUUCCUCUUGCCAUCAGCUGCCCAGUCUUAUGUGGAGAAGUAUAUAGAGGUGUUGAUUAGAAAUAAAUAUAUUGAAAAGUAUUAAGAGAGAUUACGCAUGUGAUGUUUUGUUAAAACCAGCCAGUUUAUGAAAAUUUAUUUUGAACAGAGAUGAGAAAAUAAAAAGCAUAAAAUGUUGGGAAACUCAGACGCAGAUCUUUGUUUUUAGUAGUUGGAAAGAGCACAUGUGAUGCAGUGUAUGUGUUUGCUACAUAUAUAUGUCUUUGACACAUGUCUUGGAGCCAUUUUCUCUAUUAAACAGGCAGACAAAAGAACAAGCUUCAUCUCGAUUGCUAUCAUUAUUAAGGUGUAAAAAGGGCAAAACGUUUUCAUACUUUUGUUCUAGGCCUGCCUGUCUCUAAGCGCUUGGGGAUGCUCCUAUAUUAGAAAGGUAACUCGCACCAAACGACGGUUUCAGGUUUGUUUUUGUUUUGUUUUUUUUUUUUCUCGGUUCGCGGAAAAGUCAAGGCCUUUUACCGCUGACGGUAGCAGCGCCUGACGUCAUGCUCUUGCUACGUCACGUCGUCACGUGAGGUGUGCUUGAGUGCGUUUUGCUGCUUGCUGGAUCUAGAGCUGGCACAGAAUUCUGGGCCCUUCCAUGUCAACGGUUUAGGCGUGAAAAGCAUUCAAAGCAUUCAGGCGAUUGGGCGUGGCUUGAGUAUCGUGGGCGCUGGCUAUUGGUUACAGCCCCUGGGAGACAAGCUGUAAGCCCCGAGCAUAGCGUCUCUGGAUGUGCAAGUUCAACUGAAGUGGUUGAGAAGAGGUCGCGGGCUGAUGGCUGUCAAAUUCCUUUGCGCGUCAUGACGUGAUGCAGUUCAUAAGAGGCGUCACAUGGUCACAUGACUUCCAUAGAUCUAAAACCACAUAAUUCGAACUGGAAAACUGCAGUCAAAUCAAUAUCAAAACACAAUUUAUUGGUUCCUGAAUAUCUUCUCAAGUAGUUGGAAACAUGAGCCAAAGACCCGAAGCUUCCCAGAGGAAGCGAAAGGCGAGACGGGGUGGUAGCAGCGAGGAUGAGGCUCACUGCUCACAUCAACAAGCACCUCUACCACGAGGACGUCCUCCAGCGAGACGACGACGAGGACGUCCUCCAGUGACACAAGCACGAGGACGUCCUCCAGCGACACAAGCACGAGGACGUCCUCCAGCGACACAAGCACGAGGACGUCCUCCAGUGACACAAGCACGAGGACGUCCUCCAGCGACACAAGCACGAGGACGUCCUCCAGCGACACAAGCACGAGGACGUCCUCCAGCGAGACGACGACGAGGACGUCCUCCAGCGACACAACCACGAGGACGUCCUACAGCAGCUCGCCACAAGGGCGUCCAAGUGUCUAGUUUUCCUAGCUAAGAACGAGAGAUAUUGCGCCCUGAUAUUAAGAUUUGGAACAAAAUAACCACAAGGAGCAAGAACUGGGAAUUGGAAAGUGCUGUAAAUAGUUUUAUUUGCGAAAACACACCCACGCAACCUCUCUCCACCCCGGUCCUCCCACAGAAACAUUGCCUUUCAGUACCUUCUACUUUGUACUUACUGGAAGUUUUAUUUCACGUGACUUUGCACCUGAUCGUUGGGGUGAGAGAAUAUCACAUCUAAUUAUUUUAUUUGCGAGCUCUGUGACUAACACACGGUUGACUGAGGCAGGUGUGAACACGCACAUGCGAGCGCGCCUCUUACAGCUUGAGAUGUCUUCUGUGAACUUCCGACUCCAACAUAAGUUUUAUUCUAAAAUUUGAUGAACGAGAUAAAACGAUGAUUGUACAGGCGCCACACCCUACAUACACUGACCUGGCGCUUAACCUACAGUACAUAGGAUUUCAGAGAGAGCGAGGGGUAGAAAGUCAUCCGUUCACAAACACUGUGGUACAUUAAAAUCGUGUGAGCAAAAUAUGUCCAGACCUGUACAACAACAACAACAGUGUCAAAAUCAGUUUGAAGUCUCCGCAUGCAAACCCAGCAUGUUGUUAUGAUUUAAAAUGUUUAUUUAUUUAGAAUCAUCCAUUCUUCACUUGGUUCGUGCAUUUUGAAUGUUUAUUUUUCUCUAAUGCAUCUUUUCUCAAUUAAUUUUAUCUCUAUCUUGUGAUGUUUAAGUCUCAAAAAAUAACUUCAAGUAGCCAUUAAUCUUCUGGAAGAUGAUAACAAAAUAAAUGUUCAUGAUGUGACCAGGUCCGGCACGUUAGCGUGAGUAGAGAUCGACUUAAAUGGUUGAAAUGAUGUCACUUUAUACCUGUACCCAAGUGGUAAAAUUUCCUGGAAAAUUUAAAAUAAUGAGAUAAGAAUUUUGUCUGUAAUUUUAUAGCAUUUGGCUAAUCAAGUAUUAUCAAUACAUAUAAAUACAAACUUAAUAUAACACAUUCUGUUUGCAUCACUUUUACAGUAGUAAAUAUGAACACCACAGGAAGAAUUCCAGUGGUUGUGACUGUGAUCUCCAGAUCGCGCGUCGGGAUUUAAAAAAAUUUGCCAUAAAGAUCCAUGCUAAUUUUGAGAGUGUAUUUUUUGUUUUUGUAUGACCAGAAAGUGACAGGUACAAAGCGCAGUAUGACACCUAUAUAUAUAUAUAUCUUCUUGGAUGUGAAUCCUAAUUCAAGAUAUUCGUGGCACCUUUGGAUGGUCUGCACCACUCUGUCUCGUAUGAACCCGAUAUCAAAAGAAGUUUGUAGGGUGAUAUGAUCUUAUUACUAUUUGCUUGUGCGAGCGUGUGACUAUAAAUUCAGUGAUCGGCGCGCGGUCGAAAUGAGUACUUGUGACCGAUUCUCACGCGCUUUGCUUGCAGU
Pomacea canaliculata is the source of this 3140-nucleotide long non-coding RNA. RefSeq lists it as uncharacterized. The record is from RefSeq and is a predicted model, not a curated record. The transcript is spliced from 4 exons. NCBI's taxonomy places the organism in Eukaryota, Metazoa, Mollusca, Gastropoda, Architaenioglossa, Ampullariidae.